UAAUACAGAGGUGGCAAGCGUUGCUCGGUAUCACUGGGCUUAAAGGGCGCGUAGGCGGUGCGGUACGGUUUCGGUGAAAUCCCUCGGCCCAACCGAGGAACAGCCGGAGCUACGGCCGGACUAGACGGCAUCAGGGGACAGUGGAACUCCCGGUGGAGCGGUGAAAUGCGUAGAUAUCGGGAGGAACGCCGGUGGCGAAAGCGACUGUCUGGGGUGCCUGUGACGCUGAGGCGCGAAAGCCAGGGGAUCAAACGGGAUUAGAUACCCCGGUAGUCCUGGCCCUAAACGAUGCGCACUAGGUAGCGGGAGGUUCCGACUUCCCGCUGCCGGAGUAAAAAUCUUAAGUGCGCCGCCUGGGGAGUACGGCCGCAAGGUUA
This 377-nucleotide ribosomal RNA is filed under the name uncultured bacterium. RNAcentral describes it as "bacterial SSU rRNA". It matches the Rfam family "Bacterial small subunit ribosomal RNA", at positions 521 to 896 of the family's 1533-position model. The record is from RNAcentral.